RNAcentral lists this ribosomal RNA (253 nucleotides) under uncultured bacterium. RNAcentral's name for it is "partial 16S ribosomal RNA". It matches the Rfam family "Bacterial small subunit ribosomal RNA", at positions 524 to 776 of the family's 1533-position model. The record is from RNAcentral.
UACGUAGGUUGCAAGCGUUGUCCGGAUUUACUGGGCGUAAAGAGCGCGCAGGCGGUCGUUCAAGUCGCGUGUGAAAGCCCCCGGCUCAACUGGGGAGGGUCACGCGAUACUGAUCGACUCGAAGGCAGGAGAGGGAAGUGGAAUUCCCGGUGUAGUGGUGAAAUGCGUAGAUACAAUCAAGAACUCCGAUUGCGUAGGCAGCUAACUAGGCUGUAACUGACGCUGAGGCACGAAAGCGUGGGGAGCGAACAGG